GCCGGGCAUGGUGGCACAUGCCUGUAAUCCCAGCUACUUGGGAGGCUGAGGCAGGAGAAUUGCUUGAAUCCGGGAGGCAGAGGUUGCAGUGAGCCAAGAUCGCGCCACUGCACUCCAGCCUGGGUGACAGAGCGAGAUUCCGUCUCAG
This 148-nucleotide non-coding RNA is filed under the name Homo sapiens (human). The record is from Rfam by way of RNAcentral. Lineage: Eukaryota; Metazoa; Chordata; Mammalia; Primates; Hominidae.